UCAUCCUACGGGACGCAGCAGUGAGGAAUAUUGGUCAAUGGGCGGGAGCCUGAACCAGCCAAGUCGCGUGAGGGAAGACGGUCCUAUGGAUUGUAAACCUCUUUUGUCGGGGAGCAAAGAGGCCACGUGUGGUCAAAAGCGAGAGUACCCGAAGAAAAAGCAUCGGCUAACUCCGUGCCAGCAGCCGCGGUAAUACGGAGGAUGCGAGCGUUAUCCGGAUUUAUUGGGUUUAAAGGGUGCGUAGGCGGGCUGUUAAGUCAGCGGUCAAAUGUCGGGGCUCAACCCCGGCCUGCCGUUGAAACUGG
Molecule: ribosomal RNA, 305 nt
Filed under: uncultured bacterium
Lineage: Bacteria
Description: bacterial SSU rRNA
Rfam family: Bacterial small subunit ribosomal RNA
Source: RNAcentral